Non-coding RNA from Lonchura striata (white-rumped munia), 172 nucleotides. The record is from RefSeq and is a predicted model, not a curated record. NCBI's taxonomy places the organism in Eukaryota, Metazoa, Chordata, Aves, Passeriformes, Estrildidae.
UUCUGGACCUCAUGUGGCUUCAGAAGUUUGGCAGAAGAGAAGGGCAGAGUCAAAUCUAAAAUAAGAAGAAAUCAAGUUUUGUGUAUUCUCUUUUGGCUGUAAACUCAUUGGAAGCCUGAACUCAUGAAUAAUUUAAAAUUUGAAUUGCAUCUGCUUUACUGAACCAUUUGUG